AUACUUACCUGGCAGGGGAGAUACCAUGAUCAAGAAGGUGGGGUUCACCCAGAGCUGAGGCUUCAGCCAUUGCACUCCGGGUUGUGUUGACCCCUGGCGAAUUCCCCCAAAUGUGAGAUCUCGACUGCAUAAUUUCUGGUAGGGGAUCAUGUCUCGCUCUCCCCUG
Molecule: small nuclear RNA, 166 nt
Organism: Pseudoliparis swirei
Lineage: Eukaryota; Metazoa; Chordata; Actinopteri; Perciformes; Liparidae
Product: U1 spliceosomal RNA
Exons: 1
Source: RefSeq, a predicted model, not a curated record